Molecule: transfer RNA, 72 nt
Filed under: Camelus bactrianus (Bactrian camel)
Lineage: Eukaryota; Metazoa; Chordata; Mammalia; Artiodactyla; Camelidae
Also listed under: 3 other names
Rfam family: tRNA
About the family: Transfer RNA (tRNA) molecules are approximately 80 nucleotides in length.
Source: Rfam by way of RNAcentral
GAGGAUAUAGCUCAGUGGUAGAGUGUGUGCUUAGCAUGCAUGAGUUCUUGGGUUCAGUACCCAGUACCUCCA